CGAGAAUUUUUCACAAUGGGGGCAACCCUGAUGGAGCGACGCCGCGUGGAGGACGAAGGUCUUCGGAUUGUAAACUCCUGUCAUGCGGGAACAAGAAAGUGAUAGUACCGCAAGAGGAAGAGACGGCUAACUCUGUGCCAGCAGCCGCGGUAAUACAGAGGUCUCAAGCGUUGUUCGGAUUCAUUGGGCGUAAAGGGUGCGUAGGUGGCGAUGUAAGUCUGGUGUGAAAUCUCGGGGCUCAACCUCGAAAUUGCAUUGGAUACUGCGUUGCUAGAGGAUUGUAGAGGAGAGUGGAAUUCACGGUGUAGCAGUGAAAUGCGUAGAUAUCGUGAGGAAGACCAGUUGCGAAGGCGACUCUCUGGGCAAUUCCUGACACUGAGGCACGAAGGCUAGGGGAGCAAA
RNAcentral lists this ribosomal RNA (402 nucleotides) under uncultured bacterium. RNAcentral describes it as "bacterial SSU rRNA". It matches the Rfam family "Bacterial small subunit ribosomal RNA", at positions 356 to 772 of the family's 1533-position model. The record is from RNAcentral.